Molecule: ribosomal RNA, 687 nt
Filed under: uncultured Staphylococcus sp.
Lineage: Bacteria; Bacillati; Bacillota; Bacilli; Caryophanales; Staphylococcaceae
Description: bacterial SSU rRNA
Rfam family: Bacterial small subunit ribosomal RNA
Source: RNAcentral
AACAGACGAGGAGCUUGCUCCUCUGACGUUAGCGGCGGACGGGUGAGUAACACGUGGAUAACCUACCUAUAAGACUGGGAUAACUUCGGGAAACCGGAGCUAAUACCGGAUAAUAUUUUGAACCGCAUGGUUCAAAAGUAAAAGACGGUCUUGCUGUCACUUAUAGAUGGAUCCGCGCUGCAUUAGCUAGUUGGUAAGGUAGCGGCUUACCAAGGCAACGAUGCAUAGCCGACCUGAGAGGGUGAUCGGCCACACUGGAACUGAGACACGGUCCAGACUCCUACGGGAGGCAGCAGUAGGGAAUCUUCCGCAAUGGGCGAAAGCCUGACGGAGCAACGCCGCGCGAGUGAUGAAGGUCUUCGGAUCGUAAAACUCUGUUAUUAGGGAAGAACAUAUGUGUAAGUAACUGUGCACAUCUUGACGGUACCUAAUCAGAAAGCCACGGCUAACUACGUGCCAGCAGCCGCGGUAAUACGUAGGUGGCAAGCGUUAUCCGGAAUUAUUGGGCGUAAAGCGCGCGUAGGCGGUUUUUUAAGUCUGAUGUGAAAGCCCACGGCUCAACCGUGGAGGGUCAUUGGAAACUGGAAAACUUGAGUGCAGAAGAGGAAAGUGGAAUUCCAUGUGUAGCGGUGAAAUGCGCAGAGAUAUGGAGGAACACCAGUGGCGAAGGCGACUUUCUGGUCUGUA